This 603-nucleotide long non-coding RNA is filed under the name Linum usitatissimum (flax). RNAcentral describes it as "long non-coding RNA (LUSI_LNC006583)". Lineage: Eukaryota; Viridiplantae; Streptophyta; Magnoliopsida; Malpighiales; Linaceae. The record is from RNAcentral.
UUGUUUUCACGCAUUAAGCUCAGGAAUACGUUUAUUUGCUAAUAUGAUGGCCGGUCAUAGUUCAGUAAAGAUUUUAAGUGGGUUCGCUUGGACUAUGCUAUGUAUGAAUGAUCUUUUCUAUUUCAUAGGGGAUCCUGGUCCUUUAUUUAUAGUUCUAGCAUUAACCGGUUUGGAAUUAGGUGUAGCUAUAUCACAAGCUCAUGUUUCUACGAUCUCAAUCUGUAUUUACUUGAAUGAUGCUACAAAUCUCCAUCAAAGUGGUUAUUUAUUUAUAAUUGAACAAAAGCGAGGAGCGAGUGAGUUCAGUAAAGUUCACUUGGACUAUGCUAUGUAUGAAUGAUCUUUUCUAUUUCAUAGGGGAUCCUAGUACUUUAUUUAUAGUUCUAACAUUAACCGGUUUGGAAUUAGGUGUAGCUAUAUCACAAGCUCAUGUUUCUACGAUCACAAUCUGUAUGUACUUGAAUGAUGCUACAAAUCUCCAUCAAAGUGGUUAUUUAUUUAUAAUUGAACAAAAGCGAGGAGCGAGUUUAGAAGCGAAAGGUAAGAGCGAAGCCAACACCCGCCUCCCGCCAUCCAUAAAGAAGUAGAAGUCGUUUGACCUAG